AGCAGUCCCUGGGCGGCAGGACCAGCACACCCCGCGCUGCCUGAGGAAUGGCCUCCCGCAGGCGACACCGCUCAGGUCGCUCAGCCGUCCCAGAAGUGCCCUGUAUAAAGUUUUAUAGGCCAUAUCAAGUCACUGAAAAGCGAAGUUAAAAGUAGGAAAGGCGAGGCUGACGCUGCGGCGGGUAAAGCGCAGCCUGCAGUGCUGACAUCCCAUUUGGGUGCUGGUUCGAGUCCUGGCUGUUCCACUUCUGAUCCAGCUCUCUGCUAUGGCCUAGGAAAGCAGUAGAAGAUGGCCCCCAAGCCUUUGGGCCCCUGUUCCCACGUGGGAGACGUGGAAGAAGCUCCUUACUUCAAUGGGCGCAUCUCCAGCCAUUGUGGCCAUUUGGGCAUCUAGGAAAGGUAAGAAAGGAAAGAUUAACCGAUAUUUAUGAAACAAGUGUAAUAGAAAAACAAGUAUUAAAUAAAAGGUAUGCAUAGCCAAGAAAAAUGAGGGAGAUUUGCAAACUAAAAUAAUCCUGCACUUGCAUUUUUAAAAAUGUUUUAGAAAAAAAAAAGUCAAAUGAAACAUUAAACUGAACCAGCCCAGCCCUUACUAAAUUUGUGCAAAUCUUUCCCUUGCCCCCCCCCUUUCUUAAAAUCCCUGGGGGGGAGGGGUUGAGCUCACCUGAUCCCAGCCCCCUUCAGGUGGCUUCCAGAGGUUCAGCUGGGAGCUGCCAAACAAGGAGGCUUCCCAGAUCAAGUCCCUAAUUAGUGAUACGAAGAGAAAACCAUGAACAAUUUGUGCACUUGGUGGUAUUUACUUCUUGCUUUCUUUUAACAAACUGCCUUUUGGGAAGACAGUUGUCAUAGGGCAAAUCAAUCAUUUCAGCAGGAUUAAAAAUAUGGGGGGUGCGGGGUAUGCACAGGGACACAGAGCUGAGCUCAAAGGCUGAUGCUACUUAACUCAUCAUUGGGUCUCAAAGGAGAGCCCAGCCAAAUGUAUACCUUGUAGAAGAGGACAAAAACAAU
This 1007-nucleotide long non-coding RNA is filed under the name Oryctolagus cuniculus (rabbit). RNAcentral describes it as "lncRNA (ENSOCUG00000031918.1)". The record is from RNAcentral. Lineage: Eukaryota; Metazoa; Chordata; Mammalia; Lagomorpha; Leporidae.